UACAGAGGUCCCAAGCGUUGUUCGGAUUCACUGGGCGUAAAGGGUGCGUAGGUGGUUGGGUAAGUCUGAUGUGAAAUCUCCGGGCUCAACCCGGAAAUGGCAUUGGAUACUAUUCGGCUAGAGGUUUGGAGGGGGGACUGGAAUUCUCGGUGUAGCAGUGAAAUGCGUAGAUAUCGAGAGGAACACCAGUGGCGAAGGCGAGUCCCUGGACAACACCUGACACUGAGGCACGAAAGCGUGGGGAGCAAACAGG
This 253-nucleotide ribosomal RNA is filed under the name uncultured bacterium. RNAcentral describes it as "partial 16S ribosomal RNA". It matches the Rfam family "Bacterial small subunit ribosomal RNA", at positions 524 to 776 of the family's 1533-position model. The record is from RNAcentral.